GGCGGGGCUGGGGAGCCGUGCGGGUGCCCCGCGCCCAGAGCUGUGCCGACCCUGCUACCCGCGUGGGCCAGCGCCUGCCGCCGCGGCCCGGACCCUACUUCCUCGGUCCCCGAGGGCAGGCGGCUGGGCAGGGGUGAGGGGCCGCGGCGAGGAGGCUCACGGGUCCCCGGUGGGGGACGGAGGCUGCCGGCGUGGUCGCUGCGGACAUUUUGCCGCAGUUGUGCUGGCGGGGCCGCCUCGGAGUCUUGGCUUCCGGGAGCGGCGCACCCGCGGGACCCCUAGGAGUCCGGGCAGCCCUUGGACCUGCAGCGCUGAGCCUGUCGGGUCCAGCAGCCCUCCGAGCACGGGGACCUUGACGUCGGGCGCCGCGAGUGUCGCUCAGCUUGCGGGCGGUUGCGACGCGCCGGCGGAGGCUAUGCCCAGGUGGCCCUCUGGCUGUAGCGGACGCCGCGAGGCCUGCGUGGGAAGCCCCAGGACGCGGAGCUGGUGGAGAACUGCACUCCCCGUUUCUAUCCAUUUUCUCCUCCUGAAAUGACAAGAUGCCAGAGGACGGCUGGGGAGAGAACUGGAGGAAACUAGUUAGGGCUUCAGAUUGACCCCGCAGCAGUGUCUGCUCCCGCAUGUCAGGCUUGUCCAACGCGCUUUCACAGACAGGAGCCUCUUUUUUAAAAGCAAGUAUUGAAUUAAGUGAUCAGGAGGAAACAGCGUACUCUCUGCAACCCCAGUUCUCAUGUAGUAUGGGUUUUCUGGUGAACAGCACAGCUCCAUUUGUUAGAAGACUCACUUCACUUUCAAUUGCAACCAAACUAGAUAGCAAUGCCAGACUGUAAAUGCCAGCUUUAAAGAAAGCUUCUUUACUUUAGACAAGCUACAUAGAACAGCUUGACAUUUUCUCCAAAGCUUAGAACCCACCAAGAGUCCGUGUUAUGAAGAGGAGAUUCUAGAACAGACCCUUCAAUUUCUGGAUUUUAAGUCAGCUUUAAUUAAUACUUUUCUGGUAUAUGUUAAUUUUCAAAAUUAAUUUUUUAAAAUAUUUAUUUUAAAUAUUUUUAAAAUUGUUGAUGGACCUUUGUUUUAUUCAUUUAUUUUUAUGUGGUGCUGGGAAUUGAACCCAGUGCCUCACACAUGUGAGGCAAGUGUUCUACAACUGAGCUACAAUCUCAGCCCCCUUAACUAAUUUUUGAAGUUUGAGUUUGUGCACAUGAUCCUAGAUUAAAAUAGUGUAUUAAGUGAGGAGUAUAUGGGAGAAAUAAUUUUGCAUUUGGUUUGUACAGAUGAACCUUGUCUCCAAAUUAAUAGAUCUUUUGUUUGUUUAGUUUCACUAAUGUUGAGACAUUAAGAAUCUGGCAUCCUAAGUUUUCUCCUACACCUACUUAAGAACUUUAAAGAAUGUUUUUCUAUAUUGAACUGUGGGGUGGUAAAGCAAACUGUGGUCUUGUAUUUAGAAGGCAGCAGUGAUUAUGUGCUUCGAAGGGCCUUGAGGUUAAGGGUCCCUGUAACAAGGCUGAGUGAGCCUCAUGUUAUCCCUGUUUUAUAGGCAGGAAAACCAAUAUGGAGCUGCAGGGCCUGAGCCUGAGCUGGAAGCCAGGUUUUCUGUUAUACCUGGUGCCAAAAGUGGCUGCCCCAUGGUGUUUCCCUAGCUGCUACCUGUUCGCCUGCUGGUUUCUAAGCAACCUCAACAUGAUGCACACUGGUGUAUCUGCUUGAAGCCACAGAUCACCAGUUGGCUGAACCUUUGACCUUCCAGUUGACCUCUGACUUGUGAUACUUUACCAAUUCCUUCCUCAAACUCCAUGGCUGCAGUUAACAUCUCAGUGUCCUGUAUUUCCUGCCUCUCUUCUGCUCCUCACCCUCCUGUGUUGGCUCUUCAGCCCUUUCCCAUGCUCACCUCCAGUUUCCUAAGGAUUAUGACCUUGGUUCUUCUGUUAUGCUUGCUCUUGGGGGGGGGGGGGGGUGUCUCAUCCAUCCCAGGACAAUCACUGGUUACCUGAGCUGGAACUUGGACACCAUCCUUGGGCUCACCCUUCACCUCCGGAUUGGGCCUGUCACUAAGUCCUGUCCAUCCUGCCUCCUAAAUGCUUCUCCAGCAAUGCAGCCAUUCAUUCCAGCUUACCUGGUGUCCUAAUUGCUCUCCGAGCCUCCAGUUUUCCCUUUUCUUCACUCACUUUAUAGCCAAAGUGUCUUUUUAAGAAGCGAGAGGCAUGGUGGCACACCUCACUCAAGUGUUCAGGGUUCUGCAUUGUUCUUGGCAUAAAGUUCAGACUCCAACCUACACCAGCCUCACAGCUUGCUCCCACCCCCAACCUCUUUGCUGGGCCUCCUGCUUCUGGCUCAAGUGUGAUGCCCUCCACCUGAGUGAUCUCUCCCCUCUCACCAUCCAGGACAGUUUCAUUUUGUUCCAGGAUUCUAUCACCUCUUCACCCCACCCCUGCAGUUUCUUUUCAGCCUCCUUUUAACACUUGUGUAAGCACCUUGUAUAGGUUUCGCUAGUGCCACUUGUGCAGCUGCUGUUGGAUCUGCCUGCCCGGACCUCUCAUUCCCCUCGACUGUGUGUCCUCCUCUGUCUGCUGCAUGGCCAGCAUGGGCUUAGCCUGUGGUAGAAGUUUCUGUAUUUAUAUGGAGUGAUAGCCAUGCCCUGAAGCACCCCGAGCAGAAUCUCUAGCCCCAUACGCAUAUUCAGUUAUAAAGAACACACAUCAUUUAGCCAUCUUGGUAGACAUUGCCAUCUGGAUGGCCCACAGCCGUGUACCGGCAAGCUCAGAGCCGCACUUGAUAAUCUGCUUAUUCUUUCCUUCUCUACCCUACUUAAAGGGACUGUCAGCCCUGUUAACCAAGCCAGAAACAUAGUUAUUUCUCUCAACUUCUGCAUUUGACUGACACUAGUCUUAACAGUCUACCUCUUAAACGUCCCUUGGAUCCGUCUUCAACAGUGCUGCUUUGGCUGUUCCAGGCUCCCAGCCCCUCUGGCCAAUCUAGCUGCUCCACCCAGUUCCAGCUUCGAUUUUGCUUCCUUCUCUUCCCACUCACUUAACCCAUUUUCAAUUAGAUUCCUCUUCCUAAGCACCGAGAUGAUCAACCUGCUUUCUAGUUGCUACCACCCUUCCAUGGCUUCCAGUGAUCUGAAGCUUCAGCACUGGUCACGGCCUGUCCAGUGCUGCCGGGUGGCUUUCUCUCUGCCUGACCCAGGCCACUUCACUCCCUCCUCCUCUCCGAGCUCCCUGGAUUCAAUGUGAAUGACACAUCUGAUUUCUCUUACAAGCGUUAGACCAAAGCCAUCUCCUAUUGGGCUUGACAUCACCACAGCAUUUACCCAUCUCUUCUUGGCAGCUCAAAGGUCUGUGUGCUCUUAUGGUGUGGUGUCCCAGAGCUUUGGGCCGUUGCUAGGGCUGUUGCUUUCGAGCCAGCUGAUCUGGCUGGUUGGCGUUUUUCCUUAGAAACUGGUUUACAGUGGUGUCCAACACUGUGGUGUUAGUAAUACUAUAAAAUUCAGUUUGUCUGCAUUUCUUGUGCCAAACAAACACAGCCUUUCAUAAGUUGGGGGAGGGAAGUCUGCAUGGGAUUUAAAACAAGCCUCUCCAUAUUUGGAAGUGGGAAGUUUUACUCAGCUGUGAUUAUCAUUUCAUUUCAAACGCAGAGCUUUCAAAUAUGGAGAUCCAAAUUUGCCCAACCUGUGGUUUGGGUAGUUGUCCCUUAAAAAAUCUAGGCUGGAGUAGAGCGUAGGGAUCAGUUUCCUAUGACUGCUGCAACAAAUUACCCCAAAUGUGGUGACUUAAAGCAACACAAGUCUGUUCUUCCACGGUUCUGGAGGUGGGCGUUGAAGUCGUAUCACCAGGCUGAGGUCAAGGUGUCAGGGGGACCUUGUGGGGAGAGUCCAUUGCCAUCUCUUCCAGCUCUCGGAGCAGCUGGCAUUCCUGGGCUGUGGUGGUGUCACUGCGUUCCCAUGUCCAUGGUAACUGUUGCCUUCUUCUGUCUGCCUCUCAUGGAAAGCUGAGAAGGCAUUCUGAGCCUAUGCAGAUACUCUCCUCAGCUCAAGAUUUUGAAUUUAACCACAUCUGCAAAGAUCACCGGGUUUCAGGGACCAGGACCUGGUAUUCACAGGGUCAUUCUUCAGCCUGCUGCAGAUGAAAACGCUGUUCCUAUAUGUAAAUAACUGGGAGUGACUUCUGCAAAGUAAAUGACAGAAAAGGGAAUGGAAAGUGGGGGAAAUUAAGGAAGGUGGUAAGUGAUAGAAUGCUGUGAAAAUGGCCUCUUCUGUGUGGCCACCACUUCAGACACAAGUAGGCCCCAAACUGGAAGGCUCUGGCCAUGGUACUCUCAGCAUGUGUGAAGUUGGGUUGGGUCAAGUGUUGAUCUCACAACCAGGAAGCCCUGUCUUUAAAGAUUACCAUAAAAAAGGUAAGGGAGACUAUUAAGCUGAGGACACCCCCCGCCCCAGCGGUGUGCUGGUGUUCUCUGAAGGGCCUUGCUUCCCACUUCUCACCACCAGUCCUCAUAGCCUUACUCGUGGACCUUGGAGUCCCCAGCUCAGCACCUCGCUGAUAAUAACCAAAUAGCACCAACAACUCCACAGCAGUUUCUAGCAACCCUUUUGCCCUGAGGAAGAUGGUGAGAGGACUUGGGUGUGUGUGAGUGUGUGAAAUGGCAAUAGUGAUUCUAUUUGAUUACAAACUUUGUGCACAGUAAGAACAUGGAUUUAGAUGCUCUUUCUUCUGUGCUGUUCUAUAAGUUUCUAUCAUGAAAGGAAGUGAGGAAUAUAAUUCCUUUAAAAUUUGCACCACGGGAUUUCUUUGGUAAAGAAAGAUGGAUGCUCCUGUCUCCAGUGUUUGGACUGGGGUGAAGAAUGACAGCUACUGUUUAACAAGUGUCUGCUGUGUGCCCCUAACUGUGAACCCAUCCUCCCAGCCACUUUGUUCCUUAGGAAUAAUGAUUCCCACUUUACAUGCUGAGAAAGUGAGGCUCAUAAAGACCAGAAAGAGGAAGAAUGGAAGUCGGAACCUUCCAACAGCAAUGCCUGUGACCGUCACUAUGUCAAGCUGCUCUGAAAUACUUCAGAUAUAGUUGGUUGAGUUCAUUAACUGGUCAGCCCUUGAUCUCAUUUUCUUCUUAAUGGGAAGGGGGGAAUCCAGAGCACAGCACUUUGAUUAGAUGAGUUGGAAAUGGAGAAAUGUGUAUAUAACCUGGAGCAAUUGGGAAGCAAAGGGCUCCCGCUGCAAGGCCUGUGUGUGAUCAGGGAAGCCAUUGAUGAACUAGUUAUUCUGCAAAGAGGACAGUGUGGAGAGAGGGAACAGGUUCUGUCUUGUGCCUUUGCUGUGAUUGUUCCCCUGAAGUGGCACCCCCUUUCUCCACAGAAAAGCCCUCUUCACCAUGGCUGAUUUUAGGACUGUCAGCAAAAGAGUCCAAUGUAGAUAAACUUCCUAUUUUCAUGUCGCCCUGUUUACUUGGCCACUGGCCUGGGAGACACCAGCACUCCAGGUGCUGGACACCCCUUACUAGCUUUUCACAAACAUGUAUCCAGUAUAGUAGUUUGUAGAAAUGUGCAAACAAGACCUCUGGCCUUGAGCUGGGCUUCACAGAGAUGUCAACAUUUCUAAGAUAAGUUACAAUUGGGCUCCAUGGUAACAGCUGGCAGGGGAGGAAAGAGAGGGGAGAAGAAGCUCCCCCCUUCUCAGGUGUUUUCCUUGAAGGGUUAACGUGCCCAGAACAGUGAGAGAAAAAGCUGCUUUUAUGUGAACUUCUGCAGACUGUGAACUUCUGAGCCCCUCCCCUUACACGCUGGGUAUAAAACUCUGAAACUCCCUGAACUCGGGGUUCAGGGGAUUAAUUGAUUACAGCAAAAGCUGUGCCCUCUGAAUCUGGCUGUAGCCAAAUAAAACUGUUUCCUGCUGUCUUCGGUACCUUGCCUCCUUUGUCCCUAUGACACCCCCAGCAGGUUUUGGGAGAGAUGAUCUCUCCCCUCAAGGAAUGGGCAUCCUCUCCAGGGAAACAAAUGGGAACUGUUGAUGCAAGUGGUGAGUGCCGUGAGCCUCUUGUACUGAGGGUUCUGGGGCGGGGGGGCGGGGGGUGCCCGCUUCUCCCAGGCCCGACACUGAGCAGGACUGUGGCCAACAAUGGCAAUACCAGGACUUGUCCUUGCAGUGCGUGGAGUGCCCUGGCCAGGGCCUGAUGGAGAUGGGGUCAUCAGCAACCCCUUUCUGUGCAAUGGCAACAGCUCCAAGGGUCCAGCUUUCUCCCUGACAAAGGACCUGCUGACUCCUGGGCAGGUGGGGAGCCGGCAGUCGCUGCUCUGGAUUUGAGGCUGAGAUCCUAGGCUGUGGAGAAGACAAUGAACUCACCAUAAAACGUUCAUCCAGGCAGCUCUUGCUACAUGUCUACAGGGGAAAUGUCACUGUUCCUCCACUGUGGCAUUUCAGAGCAGCGGAGUGUGUCUGUUGGGUUUGGACCCCGAGCUUCAUGUGGUGCUGCACACAUAACCAGUGGCUGGCCAAAAUGCUGACUGAGUGAUUGACCCCAGGCUUUUCUGAAACCACCAGAGAUGGAAGUGGCCUUUGGUUUGGUUUUCUGUUUUUGCUCUUGGGUCAUGGAGACUUUAGAGUUUACCCCUGCGCUGGUGAGAGUCAGCUUGUUGGCUCUGGUUCCGUGUCAGUCCCUCACUGAGAAGAGAAAUGUGGUGCACACUUCUGACGUGUCUACUGCACUUCACCAUCACCAGAACUGUUUAGUUUAGUGUACUUAUAAAUUCAAUCCAUGUUUACCCUCAAAUUUUUCUUAAAACAUCCAUUUUGGAGCAAGACUUUAUAAAAUAUUGCAGAACUUCCACCUGAAGUGUGCUUACGGAGCACUUUCCUAAAAACUGGGCCCAGUGAUCUCAUCGGCUUUCUCAACUGAGAGCAGCCGCCCUUGUGCCCCACUCCCGGGGUGGAGGUGACUCAGUGGAUUUGGUGCACUGUCUGUCUCCCAUACCUGUGAAGUCACCACUUCUAAAAAUAUGUGCUCUGCCCCCACUGUGCUUUUUUCUCAAGGUAGCUAAUGAUGGUUAAAUUCCAGCACUUGGAAAGUUCUUGGGUGAGAAUGGCCAGUGAUGGAGAACCACCGAGUCGUCCCCCGUGGUUUUAGUCUCCUGUGGAAUUCAUUUUACAUGCGGUUGGUUGUAGCAAGUCUAGAGUUUCCAAAUAACACUUGGAAGUAUGCCCAGUACUUUACCUCGUAAAAAUCAACUACAUUUUAGAAAUGAGGUGAUAGCAGCAUGUGCCAGGACAGUAGGGUGGCCCCGCUAGGCACCCCUGUGACGUCUGACGUCCUUCUCAGAUCUAGUGCUCCCUUGGGAUCAGUGCACUGGAGUGAUUAUUUGGUGCCAUCAUCUGCAGGAAAGUCAGACUUCGCUCUCUUCCCACUCUAUCGUAGUGAAUGCUCUUGAUGCCAGAUGUGCGGGGGUUUUCCACACACCAAGCAAUCAGAGCUGCAGCAGUGGACACAGCUGGAUGUCCUCUAAUUCAGUUCUGACACCAGCUACCUGGAAGUGGCGGUAGGUCCCACAGGUUGAGGGUUCUAGAUGCAAGUCCCGGGGUUCUCACAACCUCUGCUUGCGUUGAACUGAUCGGUAGACGGGCUCACAGAACUCAGGGAAGUUACUUUCAGUUUAUUGGAAAGGAUAUUCUGAAGGACCAGAUGAAUAACUGUGGAGGACGAGGUGCAGGGAGGGGUGUAGCACUUCCAUCACUCCUGAGGUGCUGCCCCCAGGAGCCUGCCUGUGUUCAUCUCCAACAGCUCUCCAAACCGUGUCCUUUGGGUUUUCAUGGAGGCGUCAUUGCAUAGGCAUGACUGAUAAACCAUUGGCCCUUGGUGAUCAACUUAACCUUCUGCCCAACCCCUCCCUAGUGGUUGGGGCUGAAAGUCCCUGCAAUCCUACCUUCCUCUUCCCCAUGCCCACCCGCAUCCUGAAGCCCUGGGGGCUGCCAGCCAGCAGUCAGCUCACUAGUACACAGAAAGAUUUCACUUACCGCUUUUAAGAUUCCAAGCAUUUUAGGAGCUAUGCACCAGCAAAGGGGGAGGAAGGUCACUUCACAAUACCAUGGUAUGGAUAUCGAGAUACUAUUGUACUGUCUUAUCAGCAGCAUAAUAAUCUAAAAUUAGGCCCUGUGUUCUCUCCCAGGUGUUUGAGGUCAGUCAUCAGAAUUGGAUGCUAGAGCAGACCCUCCUCCCAGUGCUGCAAGGGAGAGGCCUCGCCACUUUCACGGAUGCCAAGAAAAAUCAAGUGGCCACAAGACAACUCAGCCACAGUAGAGACAUUAGUUGUUUUUGUUUGGGGCUGUGGGGAUUAAACCCAGGGCUUCAUACCAGCUAGGCACAUGCUCUACCACUGGGCUAUGCCCGGCCCAGCAGGCAUUGUAUCAGCAUGCCACUGACCUUCAAAUGGGACCAAAGACACACUAAAAUACAGAGAACACACAGAAGCAGACAUUAUGCCAGCGAUUUGUCAGCAAGUGUAAGCGUGAACAGCAGACUGGCGCAGGUCUGGUUGUACCGCGGGGACACACUGCCUUCGGUGGAAGAGCCUUCUAACCCCAGGCCUGGAACUUGUCGUGAAGUAAAGAAGGUGCACCCGGAGCCUGAGAAGCACCAUUUACUUCUGAAAUGAAGAAGGAGGAACCAAGAAAGUGUCCUUGGUUAGAGUGAAUGGAGAACGUGAGCUGUAGCGUAGGGACUUUUCUAGGCACAGCUAGUGUGUGUGGGACACAGCCAUACAAGGGGCACCUAGAGGCAGAUGUGCCAUAUUCAGAGCAUGAUGUGGGGUGGUGAGUCCUCAGGGGAAAGGCCAGCUCCCGGAGGUCCCUGCAGGUCUCUGUACCUGCUGGUCCUCAUUGGCGAAGUGGGGACACUGCAGUCAACCUCUGUGGGCUGUGUGUGAGGACUGAGAUGAUAAAGCUAAGGAGCUAACACAGUCCCUGGCACAAGGAGGCUCUGAACAAGAGUUAGAGAGACUAGUGUUUCUUCUAAUGGCCAGACAACGGCCUCGGGACUGAAACCAUGUCAAAGGAAAGCCACCUGAUGUGGAGAGCACACCACAAAGUGGACGUGUCCGGGCAUGAAGAGUGAGGAGCCAGGGGCAAAGGGGAGCUGAGUCAGCCGUGCUCCAAGUCUGGGGAGACAGAAAACCACAUCCAGACCCACAAAGAGGCCGUAAGACGAAGACAACCUGCUUGACUUGUAUGAUGACCAACUGAUAGAAUUUGCUCAAAAUAUCAUAUUUUCACAUUUAUAAAAGCUGGGGAAAGUGAAAAUUAGUACUUAUAGAAAGAUUCAAAGAAAUUCAAUCCAAAGGUAGGAUGUUUGUAGAGGCUGCUUGCUGAAGUGGUUUUAAAUUUGGGCAGGUUAGAAAUCUUAAAUAAAAAUUACAGGAGGCCAUUGUUUUGGAUUGGGCUCCUGCACUAGGCCCUACAGGCCAGGCUAAAAAUCAAAAUGGAGGCAUUUAUGCUAAAGUUCCAAAUCACCAGCUGAAACUGGGAAUAAGGGUCAGAGGGAAAACCACCAAGUUUCCCAAACAGGCCAGUUUCAACUGGUGUGAUGAUGAAGAUCCCUCUGCCUUGAUCAUCACUCAAAAAAGGUGACCUGAGAUGACCCGCUCCCUGCCCCUGCCUUCAGGGAAAGUGACUUUGCAAUGACCAAUCUGCUUUUGCUCUUUGCUUCUCCUCAAGCCCUCCCUGUUUGUAAAACCAGCCUCCCUCGCCUGGUCCCGCCGACCACUACUUCUCUCAUAUGGAAUAAAGUGUUGCCCAAUCCCAGGAUCAUUACACUAGUGAUUUUAUCCUUUGACAGAAGGACCCCAAAAUUGACCACAGAGGGUAAUAAUGGGGCAAAUGUAGAAUCAUUGAUCAUCAGGACUAAAUUACCUUUCAGAGCUUGGCACUAACUACUCGGACAACCUUCCACAGGAAAACUGGAACUCUGUAGAAGAAUUUCACGUUGCCAAUAGACCUUAUGGUUGUUCUCUGUUUGGGCACAUGAUCCCUGAGUGUAGCAUUGUCCUGUCUGCAGGGCAGGUGAUUGAAAAACCUCUGGUCCACCUUCAGAGGCCUCUGGUCAGCAUGUGUGCUGCUUUGCAGUUUCUUCUUUGACCCUCCAACCAGAGCAGCACCCAGCAGCUCCCCAGGUGCAGGACAGACCUCUCACUGGCCCACUAUGUAGAGGUUCCUUAUGAGCCUGUGCAUACACUCAAGUUACGACAGCUUUCUGUCCCCGUGCCCACGCUGGUGUUCUCCCACCUGGCCCAUGUUUACUCGUACAACCACAUUGGGCUUCAAGGUGGGGGCCUGUAUCACCAGCCCAACUCACAGAGACUCCAGAACUUGGGAGCUGAUCCCCAGCAGGAAGCACCAAGCUGUUGGCUCUGGGUUUGGAGGAGGUGGGGAAAUGGCUGGAGAAUCAGGAAGCAGGAGACUCAGAAUAAAACCUGGAGGGCAGGUGGAAUUUCAACAGUGAAGCAGGAGUGUCCUCCUGCCUCUCUUGCAUUAGCCAAGGGAUGCAGGAUGGGGCUGAUCCAACUCACUUCAGGCUCUUUGACCGCCAUGGCUCACAGGGCAGGGCUAACUGCAGUUCAGGUGACUGGCACAUCUCCUGCCCUGUGGUUUCACCCUGUCUGGAAACCCUUUUCUCUCAGGAAACUAAUACAAGCAACAUCUCUUAGUGCUUAAUGGAGAGGUUGUGCACCAAACCAAGUCAUCGUGGUCUCUCUGGGGAUCCACCGCAAGAGCUUGACCUAGUGACCAGAGCAGAGGAAGUAAGCUGUGAGCACUCGGACACUUCUUUAGGGUCUGACUUCUCGGGGUUUUUCAUUCAUUUGUUCAUUUGACAAAUAUUCGUCUCAGCCAUUUGAAUUCCAGGAUCUACGGAAGCUGGACAGGGACGAGGACAUGUCCGGUCCUGCUGUCAUCUGCUGCCUGGGUGCUGGUUCUCCUCUGGGACUCUGUCUGCCAGUUUUAGCUCUGACCUGAAGCCCUGCCCAGCUGCCUUCUCCCUACUUCUCCCAUGCUCUGCUCCAAGCCAAGGGGCUUCCUGUACCCUUUCCCCCGACCCUGCCAGCGUGGUCCUCCUCCCGGGAGGUAGGUGCAUGCACACCUGAGCUUUCACUCGUGUUCUGGCUCCACACCCCAACUCUGGGCAGAUGGGACAGCCAUUCUCAGUGGGGUUCUUCCUUAGACAUGCAGGCGACCCUCUGUCCGUGAGCUCCAUAUCCUCAGAUCCAAUCAACUGCACAUUGAAAAUAUUUGAAGAAAAAUCUGUACUGAACAGAUUUUUUUGGUCAUUAUUCCCUAAAUGAUACGGUGUGGCAACUAGUGACCUAGUACUCAUAUCGCAUUAGGUGUCAUAAGAAACCCAGAGGUGGUCUAAAGCACACGGGAGGGUGAGUGUAAGUUACACGUAAACCUCAUGCAUUUCACUCAAGCAUCCUGAGCUCUGUGGAAUUUGGUAUCCCAGAGGGUCCUGGAACCCAUCCCAUACAGAGAUUGAGGGAUGACUGCUGUCAUGGUUUAGAUGUGAGGUGUCCCCCCAAAGCUUACAUGUGAGACGAUUCAAUUCACCUAUUAGUGCAUAAAUCCCCUGAUAGGGUUAAUCAGCUGGAGACCCAGGCAAGUGUUGAAGUUUGGAUGUUAACUGUAGGCAGGUGGUAUCUGGCUGGAGAAGGUGGCUCAUUGGGGCAUGCCUUUGGGGGGUGGGUGUGCGUGUGUGUAUGGUUUUUUGUUGUUGUUGUCGUUGGUACCAGGGAUAGAACUCAGGGGCACUUACCAUUGAGCCACAUCCCCAGCCCUUUUUUUUUUGUAUUUUAUUUAGAGACCGAAUUGCUUAGGGCCUCACUAAGUCGCUGAGGCUGGCUUUGAAAUUGCAAUCCUCCUGCCUCAGCCUCCCAAGCUGCUGAGAUUCCGGGAGUGUAUAUUUUGUCCCUGGUCAGCAGCGCUCUCUCUGCUUCCUGGUGCCAUGUCCUGAGCUGCUUUCUUCCUCCCCACACUUCUGCCAUGAUGUUCUGCCUCACCUCAGCCCCAGGGAAUGGAGUGGCCAUCUAUGGACUGAGCUCUGAAGCCAUGAGCUCUCUUCAAAUAAACUUUUUCUCCUGUAAUUGAUCUUGUCAGGUCUUUU
RNAcentral lists this long non-coding RNA (12129 nucleotides) under Marmota monax (woodchuck). The record is from RNAcentral. Lineage: Eukaryota; Metazoa; Chordata; Mammalia; Rodentia; Sciuridae.